UCGAGAGGCUUCGGCAAUGGGCGAAAGCCUGACCCAGCAACGCCGCGUGAGGGAUGAAGGCCUUCGGGUCGUAAACCUCUGUCGGGAGGGAAGAAGGGUUGGAGUUCGAAUAGGGCUUCGACUUGCCGGUACCUCCAAAGGAAGCGCCGGCUAACUCCGUGCCAGCAGCCGCGGUAAUACGGAGGGCGCAAGCGUUGUUCGGAAUCAUUGGGCGUAAAGCGCGUGUAGGCGGCCAUUUAAGUCGGAUGUGAAAGCCCGGGGCCCAACCCCGGAACUGCAUUCGAUACUGAUUGGCUGGAGUCCCGGAGAGGAAGGCGGAAUUCCCGGUGUAGAGGUGAAAUUCGUAGAUAUCGGGAGGAACAUCAGUGGCGCAGGCGGCCUUCUGGACGGUGACUGACGCUGAGACGCGAAAGCGUGGGGAGCAAACAGGAUUAGAUACCCAAGUAGUCCCUGAGCGGGCUGGCAAGGCGCAU
RNAcentral lists this ribosomal RNA (473 nucleotides) under uncultured bacterium. RNAcentral describes it as "bacterial SSU rRNA". It matches the Rfam family "Bacterial small subunit ribosomal RNA", at positions 355 to 825 of the family's 1533-position model. The record is from RNAcentral.